RNAcentral lists this ribosomal RNA (478 nucleotides) under uncultured bacterium. RNAcentral describes it as "partial 16S ribosomal RNA". It matches the Rfam family "Bacterial small subunit ribosomal RNA", at positions 28 to 523 of the family's 1533-position model. The record is from RNAcentral.
GACGAACGCUGGCGGCGUGCUUAACACAUGCAAGUCGAACGGUAAGGCCCUUCGGGGUACACGAGUGGCGAACGGGUGAGUAACACGUGGGUGAUCUGCCCUGCACUUCGGGAUAAGCCUGGGAAACUGGGUCUAAUACCGGAUAGGACCACUGCCUGCAGGGGUGGGGGUGGAAAGCCUUUGCGGUGUGGGAUGGGCCCGCGGCCUAUCAGCUUGUUGGUGGGGUGAUGGCCUACCAAGGCGACGACGGGUAGCCGGCCUGAGAGGGUGACCGGCCACACUGGGACUGAGAUACGGCCCAGACUCCUACGGGAGGCAGCAGUGGGGAAUAUUGCACAAUGGGCGCAAGCCUGAUGCAGCGACGCCGCGUGAGGGAUGACGGCCUUCGGGUUGUAAACCUCUUUCAGCACCGACGAAGCGCAAGUGACGGUAGGUGCAGAAGAAGGACCGGCCAACUACGUGCCAGCCGCCGCGGUAA